This 25785-nucleotide long non-coding RNA is filed under the name Jatropha curcas. RNAcentral describes it as "long non-coding RNA (JCUR_LNC000288)". The record is from RNAcentral. Lineage: Eukaryota; Viridiplantae; Streptophyta; Magnoliopsida; Malpighiales; Euphorbiaceae.
UUGUAUAUUUUGCCCAUAUGAAUUGCAAUUAAUUAAAAAAUUUCCCAUGGCAAUAACAUUUAAUUGAUUCAAAAUCAUACCUGUAAAGCUUAAAAUUAAACAUGUUCAAACAGCUUGCUGUUCUGUCCAACAAGCUUCUCAUAUGCAUCCAAACACUUUGCUAUUUAAACAUGUUCAAACAGCUUUCUGUUUAAACAUGUUCAAAUAGAUUAAACAUUUAAUUAAUCAAGCAUUGCUACAAAGCUUAGCAAUGUUACCCCAACCUCUAGUUCAAAUCCAUUGUGGCAUUUCAUCAAACAUAACAUACGCAUCGCUACAACUCCUACACUACUACUGUCACUCGCACUUCAGGAAGAUUACAACAAUACUACUGUCACUCGCACUUCAGGAAGAUUACAACAACGAAAAUGACAAGACUACACCAUAGUCAUUUCUCUCUUCUUUGUCGAAUCCUUAACUGCUCUUCCAACAACUUUGUUUUUAUAAGCAAACCAGGAAUUAUCUGCUUCGAUCUGUUGCAAAUGGCGGGAUAAACCUAUUUGAAGAAAUCGCUCCCAAUAGUCUGUCUCGCUUGCAAAUUUUUAAUUUCAAACCAAUCACUUUCAACCUAAACAAACCACCUUCAACUCAAACGCCAUAAAUAUAGAGGAAAACUUACACUUCUUAACUCACAGCACAUAAACCUUCUACCUGGGUUCCAAUUUGUCCAAGAAAAUGCGAAUGAUGCAUUGCUUCCCGAAUUUGCAAACUUCGUUUUCCAUCCAACGAAGAAAUAAUUCUACUCUCUCUAAUCUCCUCUUUCAAUUUUUUUAUUUUAGAACCUUAUUUUUUCCAAGCCCCUAAAUGUAACAGAAAGAGCGUUGAUUUUGAAGGUUGAACGAUAAAAGUGGUGUUUUGAGUAGAGUUAAGGGUAAUUUUGUCAAUUGCUUUUUACACUUCACUGCUUGACGCAUCAAAUUCAACGCGUCAAGCUUUUUGGCAUCCUAGUCAGCAUUAUUUUUAGCAAUUAUUGGGUUUUAUACAUUCUACUCAUGUUUUUAAUAAGCCACGUAGGACGGAGACACUUAUAUAAAAAAAAUUAUCGGUUUCGAUACUUGAUUAUAAAUGUUUUCCGUUAAAACAUAGAAAUAAAAUUUUUUCAAAAGUUUAAGCACUAAAUUUAUAAUUAAGCUAAAACAAUACUCUCUUCGUCUCAUUUUGUUCGCAUGAUUUGAUAAAAAAAGGUAUAUUAAGAAUUUAGUCAACAAAAGUUAUUUUUCUCUUUUUUAACCUUAACUCUUUAAAAUAUUAAUAAAAGUCUUUCAUUUAAUAAUUGGAUCAUAAAAAUUAUCAUGAGAAAAAUAAUUGGUUACACGUAUAAAUUUAAAAACAUUGCAAACAUUUUUGAACAUUCAAAAAAAAAAAAAAAAUAGCAAGCAAACGAAAUAAAAUAAAGGUAGUACGUAUUAUAUGUAACAAAUGAUGACAUCUAAGAUUCGUAUGAAUCAAAAUCAAAAUAACUAUGCAUAAGGAAUAGUUUUUUGUUCUACUAAAACCUUUUUUGUUAUAUGUUGUUAUCCCUUGAGCUUGUUUGUGAUGUACAAUUUAUGCAAAAUUGAGCUAUUAAAGUUAAGAAGAGCUUUGAACCCAGAUUUUAAUUUGGCCUAUUCAUCCAAAAUGGAUGGAUUUCCUUGUUCCAAUUAAAAAAAAAAGGGUCCAAUUGGUCUUUUGAUUGAAAGUUCCCUUUGAAAUUGAUUCAUAUUUCAAAGUGCAUUUAGUAAAUUACAUAUCGCAAUCAAGUUUAUUAACUCAUGGUUUCAAUUUUGACCCGUAAUACUAUUAGAAAUUAGCUUAAAAAUCAAAAUCUAUCCGCUUUCAACUAACCAUUGCUGCAGAUUCUCUCAUCACACCCCUGGUGAUUUGCUCUGCAACAACAAAACACUUUCAAAUAAAUGCGAGCAUUCGGUUCAUUCUACUUAGUUUUUUUAAUCUGUUCGGUUUAUUUGGUCUAUAAAGCUUGGUGGUUUUUCAUUUUUUUAAAUAAAACUAGUGUUGCAACUGCGAAGCAAUAUUAGACGAAGAAAUAAUUUUUUAUAAAAUCAUUCAAAAAUAACAAAAUUGUAUAAUAAAAUAAUCGUGAAAUUUAUUACAAAAUUGUAUCUCAUUAAGAUAUAUGUUAAAAAAAACAGUUACAAUUGCUAAGAUGUGUCUUCUUAAAUAUUGUGUAAAGCUUUUUAUGCAAUAGUAAAAAUCAUGCAUAGUAUGACCUAGGGGUGUCAAAAUGGGUUGCGUAUCAGGUUCGACACGGAUUCACUUACCAUUCGAUAUGAUUAGGGUCAAUACGAAAACUAUUAAUUUAAUAAUUGUGUUAAAUUUAUCAACACGAACACGAUACGAAAAUUAGGUAGGUGACAAAAACAUAACACAUUUAAUCUACUUAAUAUCAUAAACAGGUUAAGUAGAUCGUGUUGACUCAUAUAAAACCCGUGUAACCCACUUAAUAUUAUAAACAGGUUAAUUGAGUUGUGUUGAUUUGUGUAUAAUCUACUUAACUUGUUUAUAAUAUUUUUAAAUUUUAAAUUUUAAAUUAUUUAACUCCAAUCAUAUUUAAAAAUAAAUUUUCAUACAUAAAAUGCAGAAAUUCUUCAAGAUUCAUAAUUAAAGUAAAAAAGUAACACAACAAUCAAAUUUAAAUAGGUUUUAAUUAGAGUAUUUAUACCUAAUACCAAAAUUACCUUUUUACUCUCAAAUAAACGGGUCACUUGCCUAACCUGCGUGUCAAUCCGUGAGAUGACAUAUUUAUAUUCGUGUCAUAAAUGGGUGACUCGUUUAUGACACGAAUCCAUUUAAACUGCCUAAUCCAUUUAUUUCGCGUGUUAAGGCAAAUCGUGUUCGCAUAUUAUGACCUAUUUUGACAUCCCUAGUAUGACCUGCAUCAAAAAAUUGAUGCACUCUUAAUGUUUUUUUUCAAUAGUGAUAAUAAUUUUGAGAAUUUAACUAAUUGUAUUGAAAUAAGAAAUUAAGUAUUUUUUGUUUUAUGUUUAUGAUUUAUUACAAAUGAUUGUGUAUUUAUUUGAAAUAUUAAUGUAUUAUAUUUAUUUAAUGUAGUGUGUCCUAAGCGUGUGGAUGUCUUACCUUUUUAAAAAUAUAUCGCGUACGUUCCUGUAUCUUUUGUCCUGUGUCUGUGCAAUUUAACUCCUAGUUUAUGAGACUGCUCCAUACACCAAGUUAAUCAACCAAGGUUUUUUUUAUUACCAAGAAAAAAUGAAGUAUGCAACCUAGCUCCUGAUUUAUGAAACUACUCCGCACACCAAGCUAAUCGACCAAGGUUUUUUUAUUACAAAAAACAAAUGAAGUUUUUUUUUUAAAUUCGUUUUUAUCUCUUUUUUUUUUUAUUAUUAAUGAAUGAUCAUAAAAAAUAAGGAAACUAAAUUCUUUUUUGGAAAAAACUUAUGUGGAAAUAAAGGAAAAAUAAAAUUAAUUUUUCUCUAUAAAUUUAUUUUUAUAGUUUUGUUUUAUUUUCCUUCUUAUUUGAAGAUAAAAUUAUCGGAAUUAUUUUCCCUUAUAUUCUUUUCUUAUUUCUAAAUAAAACAGUUUUUGCUUAUUAAUAUUAGUUUAGUUUAGUUUUCUUUUCUUUUUCCCUCUCACAUGACAUUAUCUGAAAAUAUAAAAAACAACUUAUCUUCUUACAACCGUUGUCGUUACAAUUUUUCUUUUUACAAUUAUGCUAAAUAACUGCUUUUAUUAUACUUGAUAAUUUGAAAAAUUUAUACUGAGCCAUCAUCUAAGAUAACUUCUCUGCUUUUAUAUAUUAUAUAGAUUUUUGGUUCUGUACGCUUGACAAAUACUGCUUUUUUUUUUUUUUUUUUUGGGGAAAAAUUCAAGGGUUUAAAUUAGGUUACUAGAAUCAAACCGUAAUAUAUCAAAAACCAGGGUUGUGGAGUACUAUUCCACUCAACACUUUCAGAUACAGAACCACGACUCUUGCCAUGCAACGAGCAGUCUGAUUCGCUAAACGAUCCAUAAAAGACAUAUAACCCAAAGAUAGCUCUUGUAUUUGAGCUUUACAAUCAGAAAACACAGAACGAAAGGGCGAAUUAUCAAGAUAUGAACUGUUAAUAGCAUUGACGACCUCCUGACAAUUCGAUUCCAUUAGAACUCCUGACAACACGAUAACAACUCACGAACCCCUAAAGCCUCAUACAAUCGAGCUUCAUUAAAACCAAUAUCGGGUUUACAACUCCAGCAAGAAAUGCCCAUGAAGAUCUUUGCAAAUAAAAGCAAAAACCUUCGUGUACAAUCUUGAGAUAUUGACGCGUUAACGUUGACUGUCCAAAGGAGGAGAUAUCCAUUUCUCAGUAAUUAAAACUGCUUGGUUACGACCUGCAGAAUCUGUAGAACCAUGAGCCAUUCCAAUCCUCUAAAUACCUAUCAACAACUCUAACAAGAUAGGAAGUAUUAGACCGCUUGUUAUUCUAGACCAGAUCAUUGCGAGCUUUCCAUAUAAACCAAAGAAGAGAUAGUUUGACAUAUGUCAGACCUGGAACAUAUUUCCUUUAACACCAAGAAUCGGUACCAAAAACUACCAACCUGCCCCCAGUAACCAACAGUCGAUUGCAACCAAUAGCUCCUAGUAAAGACAUAAUGAAUCAAAGCAUGAGCAGAGGUCUCAUUAGCCAUAUGACAAAUCGGACAAAGUGGAGACAUAAGGAUACACUUUUCAAUUAAAUUCUCUAAAGUAGGUAACACAUUAUUCAAAACUCUCCCGCAAAAGUUUCUAAUUUUUAGUGACAAAGAUAAACUCUAUAAGAAACGCCCCACCCUGCUGCUAUUGAGAAACAUUAGCCAGAACCUGAGAACAAAGUCGAUAACGAACAUAAUUUACUUCGUGUUAAAGCCACAUCUUCAACGUUAAAUAUUUUUGACAAUAAAUCAACAUCCCUACGUCCAUCCGCACCAAAUAAAUCAGCAACAACAGUAUCUUCUAUUCCCAUGUUAUUUAUCUGAACUGACAAACGAAUUAUUUGGAUAAUUAAGCCGUGGAUCACAUUAGGCUGUUGUUGAUAAACUGUUACUAAAUCAUCUAAAACAACUACGAGGGAAUACUUCCCAAGCCCUCCAGAUACUGUUCCAAACAUAGCUAACAUUAUUCCCUCUCUCUGAUUCCAAAAAAGAACUCGAAAAAUACCGAGCCUUCAUAAGUCUUGUCAUCAAUGAAUUAGGCUGAGUAAGCAUUCUCCAAUCUUGCUUAGCUAAUAAUUCAAGUUGAAAUUUCGAAUUACUCGAAAACCCAAUCCACCAUUUUCCUUCCUAUUACAUAUCUUUUCCAAGACAUUCACUGUAUACUAGAAGAGUUGCUACCCCAUUAGGCCACCAAAAAGCAUUUAAACAUCUUUUAAUAGAUAAACAAAUAUUCAUAGGUAACAUAUAAAUACUCAUCCCGUAAAUAAGGAUAGCCUGGGCAACUGACCAGAUUAACACUUCCUUUCCUGCUUGGAUAAGCUUUUUGAUUUCCAACUCUGAAGGCGUUUCCAAACUUGAUCCACCAAAAAACAAAAAGCUAUAUUUUUAUUCCUCCCUAAACUCAUCAACAUGCCCAAGUAAUUGGCAAAAGUCCUCUUUAGAAACCUGUAAUAAAGCACAGAGCUCCUCCUACAACUCAUUUGCAACAUUAGGACUAAAGAUAACCGAACAACUUGAUAUGAUGUAGCUUCAUAAGCUGAUAAGAAAUAUUUAAUCCUAACAACCUUUUCCUGUUUUGCCUUUAAAAAGAACAUGCUAUCAUCGACAAAAAGGUGUGACACCACAGGGCUGCACUAUUCAAUCCAAUACCAGGCAAAAGACCUUACCUCUCAAACUUUUAAGUAAUUGUGGAAACCAUUUUGCACAUAGAAUGAAAAGGUAAGGAGAAAUAGGAUCCCCUUGACUUAAACCACCGGAAGGAACAAUAGGCCUUAUAUCAUUGGCUCCACAAGCAAUAGAGUAACUAACAGUGUUAACCAGAAUCUUAGGAGUUACACAAUUCAGAAUCUCAUCACAAUGACUUGAUGAAGUAGUAAAUAAAGAACGAAAAUAUUGAAUAAUCAGACCAUCCAAACCUGUAUUCCACGUUUUCCAUUUCCCAAGCUCAUCAUGUAAUUGGGACAAUAUAUUCUUCCGUUUUCGACUAGAAAGCUAAAAACAUGGAAAAACAACAAUUUUUGUCACCAUCCGCCAACCAGAACUGUUUCGCCUUAUGUAUCCAAUAAAUUUCUUGUUGCUCCAAAAUAACAUAUAAAGCUUCACAGGCAGUACGAUACAUUUGGACAGGGAAAACAUUCGUAGCCCCCUUAUAAUGCUGCAUCUGCUUACAACAAAUAUCUAAUUUCCAUUUAAAGAUAAGUUGGCAUUGAAGAUCCCAAUCAUUCGGCACCUUUGAACAUGGCCAAUCUGUAAAUCGAUCAGUUAACCAGUACCACUGUUCCAUCUAUCACACACUAUUGUUCGACAAUCCUCAUCCUUAGUCAACAUAUCCUCGUGUACCAUCUUAACAGAUGCUGUUAAGAUAGCAUAAUAUGAUGCGUUUUGCUCAUUUUCAAAAUAUAAAUUAGUGAUUGGAUGAAGAUUUUAUUUUAAGGCGCCUCGAUCGUUUUCUCUAAUUCUCUUUGUUUUUCACUUUGAGCCGAACCCAUAUACUCAAAUUUGAUCAUGAGAAUUAAAAUUUUUAAUCAAACUGAAGUUGAAUUCCAAGUUUGGAGUCUUCUAGUUGAGUCAGUUCAAUCUCACAUUGAACUCAAUUUUAAUUGAUUUAUACUUCCUUAAUAAUAAUACCAUCAAUUAUAAUUAAGGAUGAAAUUGUAACAGAGAUUUUACUGUUACACAAAUACUACUUAACGAAUUGAAAUGUAGCAAUGAUAAAUGAUAGAGUCUAUGCUUUAGGAACUACAGGUGAUAAUAAAUAGUUGAAAAAGCAAGUUGAAGAAAUUACAAAAUAGAUAAACAAGAACUCCAUUUCCAUCUUUUGGCUUGAUCGUUUUCCAAAUCUAAGCUUAAUAUUUAUUUAUUUUAUUAAAUUAAAGGUCUCAAUAUGAAAUUGAAAUUUGUUUAGAUUAAUUUUUUAGGUGGAAAAUAAAAUCCAGCAAGGAUGUACACGUUAGCCCAAUUGCACUUUUUAGCCUAAAAACCUCUCUUCCUUUACCCUUUCCCAUCAAAAUUCUCAUAAAUCAAAAAGUUGGAUUUUGAACUGAACCAUGCGUUUAGCAUGUUUUGUUACUUGUUAGGAUAUUAAGACUGGAAUCUUUGUUUGAUUUUUUAUUUGAAAAAAUAUAUUUCACCUAAGCAAAUUUUAGUUCAUCGGCUGAAAUUAACAUUUAAAUGAAAUGCUAAAAAUUAAUAGUAUUUUCCGAAAAACCUAUUCUAAAGUGUAGUUUGAUAAGUUUUUUUACUUUUUAUAACAAUGCGUAAAUGAGAGGAUUUUGAAUUGAGUAUCUCCGAACGCAUAAUAAAACUUCAUUAAUUUGGUAAAAAUUAUUAAAUUAAUGUUUUGUAUGCUUUCUUUGCCUUGUUCAAUUAUUAGAUUUAUGAAAAAGCAAAAAAUUGCAACAUUAUUAUACAGAAUUUCCAAUUUAAGGAGUUAGAUUAGUGAUAAUAAUAAUAAUAAUAAUAAUAAUUAGGCUGCUAACUCAAGCAAAGGAAAAAAUGCACAGUGAGUUGAGUCUUAACUCUUAAAAACAUUCCUUCCUUCAAUUAAAUAAACAGAGCUAGAAUUUUGUAUGGAUGCUCUUGUACGUGUCGCACUGCUAUCUGAAUGCUUAUGGACAGAGAAAUAGUACAAUUCACUUUAAUUUUAAAACUUGUACUCAUUUCAUUCACAGUCAAGCAAGGUACACUGAAGCUACUGUAUUACUAAAUAUUUAUCACAUAUACGUGGAUUUUCCAAAUAAUAAAUUAUUUUUCAUUUUUACCCUAUGGUCGUUUAUUUUAAUUCUUUAAUAAUUUAUUAUAAUUUAAAUAAAUUAAAAAUAAUAUAGUCAAUUCAUUCAAAAAUUUAUUAUAAUUAUAUCAAAUAUAACAAAGUAUUUAAGAAAAAAAGAGAGUAGAUGCUGUCAUCGUAUCCAAUAUCAAGAAAUCUCAAAAGACCUUAUCUAGUGGACUAUUGGAUGAUGACAAGGAAAGUAAAAUUAUUUACACACAAAGAAAAAAGAAAGGAAAUAUCUAAAAUAAAUAAGAAUUGUUUAUGCAAGGAAAAGAUGCAUAAGAUACUUCACAUUAAUAGAGAUUUAUGUUCAUAAAGAUUUUCUGUAUUUAUGCUGCACUAAAACUAAUAGAGAAUGCAAGGAAUUAUUCACAAGUGCACCAGCAAAGAUAUUGCAUUUUCUGGUAAGAGAGGCAAGUUGAAGAAAGAGACAAUAGGUCUGUCUUUAUAGCAAAAUUUCAAAUUUUUCAAAAGUGAAUUCCCCACUACACUUAUUCUCAUACUUUUGACCUUAUUUAGAAAAAAUUCUUCCUUACCACUGUCAUAAACACAGUACUUUAAUUACUUCCCUACCAAUUCACUUCUUUAUUCCUCUCCUAUAUCACAGCAAUAACACAUGUAAAAAGAAAAUUAUAAUAAGCUAAUAAUACCCAAACAUUUGAACUGCCAAGAUUUAAAUUUUAUUACAGACCUAAAUAAUACGAGAAAAAAUAAACCCAAGCAUUUGCCUAAAUUGUACAAGUUUUGCUUUUGGGUCCCUCUUUUUUUUUUUCUUUUUUUUUUCUCUCUUUAGUUUUUCAACUGGGCUAAGACACUUUUUAAUUUGUUCAAUAAGAUGGUGAAAUUAAUUUUAAUUGGAUUUAUAAAAAUUAUUCUAAUUUCAUCAAAGUCAAUCAAACUCUGUAAAAUCUAAUAGAAUCUGUGGAAAUCCUACAAUUCCAUAAUUCCAUCAAACUCAACGAUUCUUUUAAAAUUUAAAAAGAAUCGGGUUUUGGCCAUAUUCCGGUUUUGGAACCAGAACUGGAGGGGUUCUAUCGGUGGCUCCAACACAUUUUUUCAUUAAAAUCUCCAAAUUAAACCCUCGUAACAACUAGAAAUAGCUAUAUAUAUUACAUUUAAUUAUGUUAAGAGUAUUUGUGUAAGUUACAUUUUUUGGAUUUUAAAAUUAUGCGAACAGUCCAAAACCGAUUCUUUUUUUUUUUUUUGAAUUAUAACUACGUCCGGUUUGAGUACUACGUCCGGUUUGAGUGCUGCAGGGUCCAUAUAAGGGGUGACUCUCCCAACGCAACAAUUUCCAAUCACUCCUUUGGUUAAGGGAGAAGGAUCCCGAACACUCCAAUUCUUAAUUAAACUUUGGAAUUGAUGUUUGAGUGGUCAAAAUGAAACAAUAAAAAAUAAUUAUAAUAGUAACACACGCAAGAAAAUGAAUCUUGUUUUGCUCUUUCAGACUGAGUUGAUGAAAACUAAAGCCUAGUGGGCGGACAAGAUUUUAGACUUAGUGUCAGCCUGUGUAGCUCUCCUUUGCUUAAAGAACCAAUGAACCAAAAGACAUGACAAGAAGGAAGAUGGAAUCUAUCUUUUAACUCAAAUGACAAAAAUACCCUCACAAGAAAGAUUCUUACAAUUGCAUGGUGAGCAUUUCUACAAUGAUACUUAACCAUCAAAACAGGCAAAAAUAAAUACACAUCAAAAGUAGAUCAACAUAUAUGCCACAUGUAUAAUCAACAUUUUCAAUAAUCGAAAUACUAGAUUUAUAUAUCCAAAAGGGCAAUAAACAUGUAGUUUCCUGACACUCAGUCAGACAAAUUAAGGUCAUUAUGGGAAUUGAGAAAUAUUUUUAAUGAAGCUUCUGUUAAAACAGGUGAUGCUACAUCAGCUUUUCAUAAUCUGCUAAAGCAACAAAGAUAGCAUAUAAGAGAAUUGUAAACAAGGAUUCACACAUACACACACAAAGUUAUAAAUAUAUAAGUGAAGAUAUCUUCAAUCUUCAAUCACUAGUUGCCAUGAUUUCCUUAGCAGAUGUAUAUCAUGUGGUGGCUGCUACAAUUCCGCUCUAUUUUGCUAUGAUGUUAGCCUACAUAUCUAUGAAAUGGUGGAGGCUCUUUACACCAGAUCAGUGUGCAGGCAUAAACAUGUUUGUUGCUAAGUUUUCAAUCCCCUUACUAUCGUUCCAGGUCAUUUCCAGCAACAAUCCCUACAAAAUGAAUCUGAAACUCAUAUUGGCUGACUUUCUUCAAAAAAUAUUGGCUGUUUUAGUACUAACAGCAAUCACUAAAAUCAGCUCCAGAGGAAGGCUAAAUUGGGUCAUUACUGGUCUCUCUCUUUCAACAUUGCCCAAUACUUUGAUCCUGGGAAUUCCACUUUUGAAGGCUAUGUAUGGGGAAGAAGCCGACUCGCUCCUCUCCCAGAUUAUUGUCUUACAAAGCUUAGUUUGGUAUAAUUUGUUAUUGUUUCUUUUUGAGCUCAAUGCCACCUAUGCAGCCCCAGUGACACCAUCUUCAGAAACCACAGGUAGGCUGUAUUCAGGUUUUGCAACCUUAUCUUGGAAAAAAAAAAAUUAUUGAGGUUUUGCAUUUUUUUGAGGGCAAUCCCUAACAUGAGCUAUAGAUACCAAAUUCAUAUGUAGAUCAUUCCAAAAUCUAAUUUGACAUCUCACAGAUGGACAGUCUUUCAAUCUCAAUCCAGUUCAGUCAACUUUAGUUAGAGAAGAUAACUCUAGUGGGCCCUUAAAACAUUUCAAUUAUCUUUCCAUUUCUUUCCUUUUAUGUUCUUCCAAUCAAAUUCUCUCAAUAUGAUUAAAUACCUGUAAUUAGAACCUUCAUAUAAACAUCUCCAAGAAAGUAAAUAAGAAUUGAAAAUUGAUGGAACAUGUUAAAAUAAUACAAAUGUGUAACAAAAUUGUUGAUUUUGUUUAAUGAUUUAAAUGUCCUUCAAAAAAAACAAAAAUGGUUUCUUUUCUGAUUCAAGAGGACCAGGAGGCCCCUGAAGAGGCACAAUUAAAAGAGGGAGAAGAUGAAACUCACACUAGACCAACAAGGAGAGUCAAGACCAUGCUCAUUCUCUUGACAGUGGGGAAGAAGCUAUUGAGAAAUCCGAAUUUUCAUGCUACUUCGUUGGGUCUCAUUUGGGCAAGCAUACAUUUUAGGUAAUUCUGCAGAAACAUGAAAGAAAAAUAGUUGCACCUUAGUUGGUUUCUAGUUAAUAAACUUGUUUCAGGUGGGAAGUGAAAUUACCAGACGUUGUUGAUCAAUCUAUACGGAUUUUAUCAACAGGAGGGCUUGGUAUGGCAAUGUUCAGCUUAGGUAUCAUAUCAUAUAUCAGUAAUAUUAUCAAAUAUUACAGGAAUUUAAAAAACUGGGUUUUUAAUGUCAUCUCAUUCUAAUAGGUUUAUUUAUGGCAUCUCGGACCAGUAUAAUAGCAUGUGGCAUUCGAAUGGCAAUAGUAUCUAUGGCAAUCAAGUUUAUUUCAGGGCCUGCCCUAAUGGCAGUUUCUUCCUUUGCCCUUGUUCUAAAGGGCACAGUGUUUAAAGUGGCAAUUGUGCAGGUGCAUAAAUUUUGUUUCUUUUGUUUACUAAUCAAGAUAAAAGGUUAAAUAAUGUUUCCAUACUGCAGGCAGCUCUACCUCAAGGGAUUGUUCCGUUUGUCUUUGCUAAAGAAUAUAAUAUUCAUCCAGACAUAUUAAGCACAGGGUAACUAAUAUUUCUAUGCACCUCAAACUCCAAUUUUCAAAUUUGCUCAUGCCUUAACUUAAUUUUCAGAUAUGCUUCUUUUUGUUGUAGGGUAAUUUUUGGCAUGCUUAUUGCAUUGCCAAUAGCAUUGGCCUACUACUCCCUAUUAGCAUUGUGAAAAUCCUAAAGAAUUAUGCAGAACCCCGAAACAGCAGAUUAGUACUACAUUAUUUCAAGGAAAGGGUCUAACUGUUGAAGAUGAACUUUAGAAGUCUCAUUCAAUUGGUUCAAUUUUUAUCUUUUUUUUAUCAGUUUUCUUUCAUAUGUUAAUGUGAUAUGAAAUAUUUUUCUUUUCUUUUUUUUUUUUGUUUUCUUUAGCAAAAAAACAUAAAUGUAUCUAUCAAAAAUUAGCAAGCUAAUGCAAUAAUGAAACAGUCACUUACAAGUAAAUUAGAUUCAAAUUAUAAUUAAAAGAGGGGAAUAAUUAUAAAUCUAAACAAAAUUAUAAAAAAAAUACAAGUCUCACUAUCAGAUAAGAUCAGAAUGGGUUACCCAGUUCAUUGUUCAGCUUCCAAGUAUUGAAACAAUCAGAUUUACUUCUUUCAUUGGCUUAAGAGACCAAUACCUAAAAAAAAUAAAAUGAGAACACAAACUAAUUAAGUGUGAACCAAACUCAAAACUUCCAAGAAAUAUUAAAAAUAACAAAAUAGUAUUUUACAGCAAAAUUCAACCUAUGAAUUCACAGAACAUGCAGUUGAUUUUCUUCAAUGACUAAAGUUUCCAAGAAAUGAAAAAAAUAUGUUUCUAAUUUUCUCGCGAAGCAAGUGGAGGCAGAAUAUCUGUCAAAACAAGUAAGAUCCAGUAUCUGGUUUUCGACUUACUUAAUUUGAAGCAGUGAACAAUCACCACAAUGGUUGGAUUUCCAGCAAGCAAUAGAGUCCAAAUAUAGGUAUGAGCAGAAGCCUGUAACUAUGUUUAUCUGUGGAUAGAAGAAAUUCGCGAGGGUGGAACGGUCAAUUGAAGUUCUAAAUGAGGCGCCCAAGGGAUGCUAGGGAUGCUGGGUCAAAAGACUCGAACCAUUAUCUUAUUAUUAUCCUUUCAGUAGGCGUUCCGUGGCAGCAUUUCAACUAGCGUUUUGGAAUUAAAUUACCAUUUUAUAAAAAUUUAAUUUUAUCGCUAAAAUAACUAACAGAUAAAUUAGCUAAUUUUUACAAACAGACACAACGACUAGUAACUAUAAAAAUUUUUAAACUAUUCAAUUUGAAUUAAUUUUUUAACUGUAGCUGAUUCUGGUGUAAUUUCAAUGAACAACUAAUUUCCACGAUAUCCAUAUUAUUUAUUUCAUAAAGUUAAUAGAAAUUUAUUUCUAAAGUUCCGUCUCUUUCCUUUAAAAAUUAAUGUGUAUUUGGAAAAAGAAUUAGUAAACUUUUUCAAUAUUUUAAAACGCUUAUAUUCAUAUAGAAAAUAAAAUUCAUUAAAUUUAAAAAUAAAAUAAAAUAAUCAAAGAAAUUAUGAUUUUAUUUUGUCUAAAUAUUCUUAAUUAAAUAAAUUGUUAGAAAAAUUUAAAAAAUAUUUCGAAUAAUGUAAUUUUGGACUAAAGUAAAAAAAUUUAAAAGGGAAAAACGUUGUUAGACUUUAGAGGUGCAUAUAAUGAACUAAGUGAUCAUAAAUUUUUCAAAAUAAAAAUAGAAUUUUCGGUUUGAACUAGACCGAGAGCGUCAUUUCAGGUUCAUUAAUAUGACCUUAAUUGGCCUAUGAAAUGUUGGUUCUAGAUUAAUUUUGAAAAAAUGAUAUCGAUUCAGUUCCAAUUCAUAAUACAGUACGAUUUGAUUUUAGUUCGAACCAAACCAGUGGCAUGCCUAAAUACAUGUAAACACCACGUGGAAUUAAAUAUAUGCUUGUUCAUUAAGAUUACGAGACAUCAAAUUUUAUUUUUUAAAAAAAAACAUAAAUUUGAUGAGAUAGGUCAUAUUUUAUUUUUAAAAUUUAUAUUUGCUCCCUCUUUAAAUGAUGAGUUUCGAGCAAUAUCUAAUAAGUCAAAUAAAAUAGAGGUACACAAGCAGUUGAUCCAGUUAAAAUCGAACCGGAUAAAGAUUUUGAAAGGCAAAUAAAAUUUCUUGAAUAAAAACAAAUCAAACCAAAAUUACGAUAAAAAUCAAAAUUGAUUUGAUUUGACUCGGUUCAAAAAAUUUUUUAGUUUUUAAUAGAAUUGAAUGGUUUUAAACCUAACCGGUUGGAUUCUAUAAAACUGAGAAUUGAACGUAUUGUGAGCAAAUUAACAAAACUGAACACUAUAUAUUUGUUCUUCAAUUUAAUCGAUCCUUUUGUUCAGCCCUAAAAUAAAAAAUGAAUAUCCUUAAAUAUACUGUGAAGCAUACAAAUUUUAACGGAUGAUCUUAAUUAAAGCGAACCAUAAAGCUCAAUUGAGUAUAAUGGUUUAAAUUUCGACUCUUCUUAGAAGGAACCAGUUUUUAUAAUGUAUUAGAAUCAAUUAGAACUUUAUUGAAUUGAGUUCUUGCUUUCUCUAAAAUUAAAAAAAUAUAUAUAUGAGAGAUUUAAAAUUCAAAUUUCUUAAUUUGGUAAAGAUUAUUAAAGAAAAAAAGCUUAUUAUAGACAAAUAAAAGAAUGAUUUUCAAUUAAAAACAAAUUGAAAUUUCUCACUUAUGAAGCUCUCAAAGCUUUUUCCAAUUUUGAUUUUUGUUAGUAGUAUCUACCAUCUAGACUAAGUAAAGUGUUGGAGAAUAUGUCAAUGGAAUGGGCAUUUAUUUAUUUGUCUGUAAAUGUGGUGUAAUGCACAAACAAAAGGGACCCACACGCUAACUUUUUACAGACAAUAGGAAUAUUUACACUGCAUGUAAAAUGUAGACCAUGUAAGAUUAAGAUAGCUGUUUUUAUAGUUGAACUAAUUCUUAGGUUGGUGUGGGGUCUAUAUGUUUCCAAAGUGGUCCCAAUUUUCCCUAUUAUCAUUUUCAGAUAACAAUUUUACAACCCAAAUUGAGUGCACAUAUAUUCACAUUGAGGAAUUUUGACAAGAAUUGAAGUUUGGCUUUUAAUUGUUUUUUUAAUACUAUUUUUAGUAUUUUAUAAUAAGCAUAAACUCCAAUUUUUCUAUUUGUAAUUCAAAAAAAAAAAAAAAUCAAUUUUUAGCUUAAUUUACUCCAUGAAUAGUGUAAAAAGUCCUCUGUUAUCAGUUUGUGAUUGGUAGAAAUUCAAAUUCAAGAGGUAAAUUGAACGAAAAUAAUUAAGUUUAAGUUUUUUUUUUCCCUGAAUUAUAAGUUAAUGGGAACAAAUUGAGUUUUAUUCUUAUAAUAUAAUAAUAUAAUGGAACAUAAUCAAAUAUAUUCUUGUUAUCUACAUAUAAUAUUAUGAUUAACAAGCUAAACAUGGUUAAACAUAAUCUUAUAAGAUAGAUAAUAAUAAUAGUUUAAUUUUAAAAUGCUGAUGCCAAAAAAAAGGUUUUUAGUUUAAAUAAUAUUUUUAAUUAGAAUAGAAAAAUUGAUAUUAUCAUCUUGUAGAGUAUUAAAAGGAAACAUGACUUCCUUAUUUGAACUCAUUUAAUUUUCAUAUUUUAACUAAUUUAUUUUUAUAUUUUGAACUUAAAUUUUCUAAUUUUUUUAACAAAACAAUCUUAUAAAACAUUUAAGUCUAUUUUCUCUAAUACAAAAUACUUAGAGGUUGAUUAUACACAACUUUAUAUUUAAUUAAUUAACUUUUUACAUUAAGAAAAUAAUAUAGUGAGUAUCUAAUUUUCUAAUUCAUAUUUCACCUUAACCUAUUUACUUUUAGGUCUUUAUCAUUUAAAAUAUAUUCAAAAAUACUCAAAUUCUCCAUCCUAAAAAUUGAAAAGUCUGCCUUAUUAGAAUUAAUUCCACAUAUGGAAGUGUCAUUUUCAUCAAAAUCUUGUUCUAGACAAGUGCCACUAUCACUUGCUUUAUUGAUUUCAUUCUCAAAUCUCAACAUUUCAUUACAUUCUCAAAUCUCUUUUACCAAAUUGAAUUUGACCUAAAAGUUAGUUGGAUAUAAUUUAAUAAAAGUCUCAUAUGUAUAAAUUCACCAUUGAAUUUUACAAUUUUAAUUUUGUGGCACCCUGAACUUUGCGGAUGACUUAUCGUUCACUUGAAUUUAUAAAUUUUGGUAGUAUUAAACACAUUUCGAUAUUAACAUCAAUAAUUUUUGGGAGUUUUGGCUUUUAUCUAUAGAAUAUCGACUUAAUAUAUAGUUAACAUGACUUCUGAAAUAAUAAUUUUUAAAAAUUUUAACUUUUUAAUGAGUGUUAAAUUUGCAGGUUGAAGUGUUCAAUAAAAUAAUUUUGAAAAUUGAAGUAUUUUAUAGAUGUAGUUUUAUAAGUUAAAAUAUUUAAUGAGUCAAGAUAAAAAUUAAGAGUUUAAAGUAAUAAAGUUCAGGUGAAUUUAUAUAUUCCUCCUUUAAUAAAAUUAAAAUGGUUACUCUACUAAAAUAAAAUAAUAUGCCUAUGUUUUUGGAUAUAGUGGCAAAUUAGAUUAUUUAGCUAAACCUCAUAAGUUAAAGUUUCAAAAAAAUAAAAAAAAAGUACAUAAAGUAAAUAUUAAUAUUAUACUGCAUAUAAAGUUCUUACACAUUUAAGGCUUAAUAACAAUACUAUCAACUCUUUGUUUUUUUUCCUUUGAGUCAGCACCCACCAACUUAUUUGGAUAAAGGUGGUUCUUUUUCACUCUUUCUUUACUUAAUUUUUUUAAAUAAUACAUUAUUUUUGUGAUCAUUUGUAAAUUUAUUCUCUCAAAUUUAUCAUAUAGUUGAUAAAUUUGAAUAUUUAUGGUAUCCUCUUAGUGGAAUUGUGUCUAGGGCUGAAUAAACGGUCAAUUCGAUUCAAAUUGAACCGAACGGAGGCUAUAAAAUAAAAAUCAAAUUUUUUAUAACAGAUCGAAUCGAACUGAAAUUUGAAUGUGAACUGAACUAAUCGAUUCGAUAUGUGUUUAUCGAUUUUUCCCAUUUCAGUUCGAUUUUAAAUCCAACCGAUGAAUUUCUAUGCAAUCAAUUCGAACCGGACAAUAAAUAUGAUUCAAACCAAAUGAACCAAUUAUUCAAAUCUCUCUUAAACACUUGACUGAACCGAACUAAAAUGGAUUGAUUCGAUUUUCAGUUAGGUCCAAUGAGUAGUUUUGCUCACCCCUAGUUGUGUCUUUUUAUUUUAUUGUGUUUGAAUAUUUUCGUUUCUUUCAUAGAGUUAUUCCUCGCUGUUGACGAUAUUAUAUGUGUGGUUUUGAUUCCUUCUUUGUUGGCACUUUAAAAUACAAGAUGAUUUUGUUUUUUUUAGGUUUGUUGAUUUAUUAUUAUCACAUCCUAUUGUAAUUUUUCUAAUUUUUUUUUUUUUAAAAAACGUCAACAAUCAUAUAUGGCUCACAUGAUGGAUUUGAUUUAGGCCAUUAAUAUAUUAUAUGGUUACCCACUCUCUACGCUUCUAAUUUUAGAUAUCUUUGUAUUUAAAUGCGAAAAAAACUCUUUAAUUGCAUUAUCCAACUCCAUUCCUUUAUCCAUUACUUAGCUAAGGUUCAAAAAAGAGAAUUAAAUAAUAAUAAUAAUAAAUGGAGUUGGCUAAGAUAGUUUUGAUCUUUGUUCUUUUUGUUUCCACUAUUAUUCCAAAUCUAACGGCAGCAGAUGAUACCAUUGGCGUUUACGACGAGGUAUGGAAAAAACGACAACAGGAAGCCAAGAGCCACCUGAUGGACGCCUAUGUUGCCGCCGCUACUGCCCAGUAAUUAUCCAACUUUUCAUUUCUUUUAAUCACGAUUAGAUGUUUUCACUAAUUUUUCAGAGGUGGUUUAGAUUGAUAGAAUUUGAAUUAUAAAAUUUAAAUAUUUUAUUAUUUUACUGAAUUUUUUUAUUUAAUUGAAAAAAUAUAGAUAAAGAUGGAAUAAGAUUUUCCUCAAUUAUUAUAUAUAUAUAUAUAUUAUUAAUGAAAUUUAAAUUAUUUAAUUUCAUUUGGAAAAUACUUUAAUUGAGGUUUAAAUCAUUUUUCUUAUUGCUUCAAAGGAAAAAAAAAAACAUUAGGCCUGGCCCAUUCAAUUAAACUUGGACCCAAGUUUGGGUAAGAAGUUUUGUUCUCGGCCUGGCUCGUGAGAGCUAACUCUUAGCAAGGCCUUUUACAUAGGACUUGUCCUCAUAAUAAUAAUAUAUUAUAUAUAAUAUUCAUUAAGAAUAUUUUGUAAUAAAAAUAUUACCUUUAAAAAAUAUUUUUUUAAGUAACUGAUUUUUUCUUAUUUUAAUUAUAACAUUGAAAAUUAGUUAAAAACUAAUUUUUUUUUAAUUCAAUAAGGUUACAAAUAUAUUUUGAAUUGGACAAAAUUUAAUUUUUUUAAUAGUUGUCAGCUAUAUUAGUUACUCUUUUCAUAUUUAUCAAAUGUUGAAAGAAGCGACGUUUCAUAAUCUAUUCUACAAAUACUAACAGUUAUGUUAAAAUUAUUGCCCGACAGGGACAUAAAUUUGAAAAAAUUAUGAAAUUAAAUUAAAAAUAGAUAAAUCUAUAAUUAUAAAAAAAUAUUUAGAAAGUAAAAUUUGAAAAUAAUGUCAUGUCAUUCAAUUGAUGGUUGCAGUGGAAGUGCACCUGCAAAUGCUCCAAGUGAACAUUCUCCAGGUGCAAAUGCUCCAAGUGAACAUUCUCCAGGUGCACAUGCUCCAAGUGAAAAUUCAUCAGGUGCAAAUUCUCCAGGUGCAAACUCUCCAGCUGCGUAGAAAACAACACUAGAGACCCUAAUAAUUCUACUCUUGGAGGGUGAUUUCUAUUUGUACGCAUCUUUAAUGGAUGAUCCGCUGGGUUACUAGACUUCUUUAUUUUAUUAUAAUGUAAAUUUAUUCAUUUUAUUUUAUAUUUUUUAAAAUUACUUCCAAAUUUCUUUAAGUGGAGAAAUGGUGGCAGAUUUGAAUUUAUGCACUGUGCCAUUAUUAUUAUUUUUAGAAUACUAAUCAUUGGAACAGCAAAUUGUUCCACAAAUUGCAAUUUAUUUAAUUUUUUUUUUAGCAUGGAAAAUAUGAUUUGAGCUUGGAUCUAUUGUCAUGUUGUAAUGUACUUACCAUUAAACUAUGCCUUGAUGUGCCAAUUUAUUUAAUCUUAGAAAUAAUAGUAAAUCAAAUGAAUUAAAAAUGUAAAAAAUUUAUAUAUAAUUUUCAAAAAGAUAAAAUAUAAAAUAUGAAACUUUAACUAUUAGUUUUGUUUAAAUACUAAAUAUUGGAAGAAAAAAAUUUAUUCGAAUAUGUUAAUAGCAACUUGUUUAGUCUUAAAAAUAAGCAUCGUGGUCCAGCUCAUACUAAGUUGUGUUGCCUUCUUUAGGUUUUUUCAUGACAACAUUCAUUGGCUCGAGAGCCUCUUGCUCUUCAGGCACAUAUUGAAUUUUUCAAUUCUGAACUUUAUAGUUAUCACCAUUAAAUUUAAUUUCAUUGUUGAGUUCAAGAACUAUGUUUUUCAUAAUGUAUGUCAUUGAAUAGAUACACAAUCUAUAGUAGACAAUAUUUACUCACUUUUAUUAAUAUGAAAUACACACAAGAAAAUUAUUUUUAAUAUCCAAUUGCACAUAUUAAUAACAAUUCACACCAUCCAUAUACAAUAUGAGAUAAUAUAACAUAGCAAAUAAUAAUAAUAAUAAUUAGAAAAAAUUUCUAUUACAUAUCUAUAUAUCGGUCAAAUAUACUAAUUAGGACAUACUUUUUAUAAAAUACAUGAUCAUGUUCUUAAAUUACGGUAUUGUUAGACACUUUUGUCCUUCCGUUCACUUUCACUUUUUAAGCGUUUAUCCGUGAGUCACAACACUAAAAUGCGAGCAAAAGAGAGAUAAUAUUUUUUAUGACUAAAAUACCCUCACUAUCCUUCCCCUCUUACCAUUCUCUCUCUUCAUCUCCCGUGACCUUCAGCUGCAGUAAUGGCGGCUGAGGAAUUGAUUCAGUAAAAGGACAACAAUUGCCAUGGAAUUAUUAACCAGUGAAGACAAAUAUUGGGACUACUUUGUUGGAUUAGAGUAAUUUUUUUAGGAGCUGGCUGAAAAUGAUCAUAAUAGGUGUGGGACACCUCCAGCUUCAAAAGUCGGCUAUUGACGCUUUGUCUACCAUCAAAAUCACUAAGAAGUCGUUGAAUUUGGAGAAUGAAUCAAUUUGCUACUUGCAAAGAUGAGUUCGAGAAGGAGCUGAGACAAAUAAAUGCCACGUAAACAUGUUUUGAGGAAUAUUGUAUUGUAGGUUUAUACUAGAAAAUUAUCCAAUAGUUUUUUUAAAAGUUAUCCAAAAGAAGACAUGAAAGACUCCCUUCGUUCUUUUUAUAUAGACAAAUUUUUGUUUUUUUUGUUGUUCUUUCUAUAUAAACAAAAUCAACUUAUUUGGUAAAUUUGGAAAGGAUGCCUAAUUUAAUUUUUUUUCUUCUAAAAAAUCCUAAAGUAAUGGCAGACGAAAAUUAAGUUGAGCAUUAAUUAUUAAGAGAAAUCAUGGGGAUUUUUUUUUAAAUCAAAUUUCCAUUGAGUUUUUUUUAUUGCUAUUUGUUUGCAAAAGUGAGCUCAGUUUAAAAUAGCUCGAGUAGUAUUGGGCACUACUUAUCAAUAUUUUGGUACAACUUCUUUAUAGAGGGACUAACUGAAUUUAUAUAUUCAAAGAUAUUUUUUCGUUUGUUUGCCUUUCUUGCAUGUUUAGAUAGAUCAUUUUCGACUAUCUUUCCAAUGACCAUCUCUUCUUCUAUUGGAGAAACCUUUAAAUUGAUUAGAAUUUCAUUGCAUAUGGGAACAACUUACGAGUUUGUAGACGAGUCUUGGAGAAAAUCAUUGAGAGUUAAUUGAUUUGGUUGGAUUCAUGCUGGACGAACAUAUUGUGGAUUGCAAUAUCUAAUUGUGUUCCAGUCAAAAAUUUAUAUAUAUGUUCUCGUUUUUAUGAAGUUAAGGAGACUCUAUAAUUCAAAUAAAAAAAUUGGCUCUUAAAUUUUGAUUAAUUUUUUCGUGCAAAAAGGUCAAUGAAGGGCCUAAAAUUAAGUUUCAAAAUUUUGAAUUUUCAUUUAUAAAUGUGAUUAGUUAAUAUCCCAUUAAUUAAGCAACAACCACAAAUAAUCCCUCCAAAUUUUUAGAGAGACAAUGCAUUUAUAGCUAUAUUAACCUAAGAAAUGUGAAUAAAUAUUUGCAUUUUAGAGUAGUAGUUAAUGUUAUUUUAGGGAUAAUAUAGGCAAAAAAGAAAAAAAAAUUAGUUUAACUAAUUUCUUGGUAUUGAUAAAAAUUGUGCGUAUAUAAAAAGAAGGGAGUAGCUUAAUACAUAAAUUUAAUCCUGAAUUUUCGUUCGUUCUUCUUGUGGCCCCUAAACUUUAUAGGAAUCCAAUUAUAACCAUACAUUUUCACAUUUAAAUAAUAACUAUAUUCCUCACAAAAAUAGCUUUGUAGAGGUUAAAUGAUUAAGAAGUUUUUCUCAGUUGAAGUUUUAUAUAUUUGUAAGGUGUAGUUUUUUUUUAACUCUAUUUUAUUUUAAGUAAAUUAUUUCUAAUUUCUAAGAUAAAAUAUUUUUGUAAUUUCUUAUAACAUAUUUAAUUUUCAUAAUUUUCCAUAUAAAACUCUAAUUCAGAUUCACAAUAUCUAUUACUUAAAUUCAAAAUGAUUCAUUCAUGAGAUCAUUAUAAAAUAUCAAAUUAAUUCAAAUAUAAAAAAAAUUAAAUAAAUGAUUAUAAAGUUUCAAAUUAACCAAUAAUUUAUGAUUAAAUAUAUUGAUUAAUUUAUUAUUAUUAAUAAAAAUUUUCAGUACGACAUUGAAAAUUUUAAAGUUUUCAAUAUAAGUCAAUAACAAUAAUUAUCAAGUAACAUGUAAAUGUCCACAUGCUACAAAGCACAAUAUACAGUAAUAAAGCAACUGUGACGUGGAUCUUCACCUAAUGAAUAUAAAAACUCAAAGCAUGAUGGUAAAAAAAAUAAAUAAAUAAAUAAACAUUAACGAAAAAACAAUUAUUAUUAAAAAAAAUAAACUCGAAAAAACAUGAUAGCAAUCAGCAAAAAAAUAUCCCUAACCUAAGAAUUCCUAUAAGUGAUGGGAAUGGGCCAGGAGUUCAUAAUUCCCGGUCUCAUCCCAAAAUAUUGGGACGUAAAAAUGAAGUUCCAAUCCCGUCCCAAAAGAUAUAUAAUUCCGUCUCAUUCUGAUUUAGAAAAGACAAAAAUUUAGAUUUAUGCGACAAAAUGGAAUGAGUCAGGACGGAAAUUAAUUAGAAUUUCCCAUAAUCUUACUAAAUUACUUUUCAUAUAAAAAAAAUAAAAAAAUUACUAUAAUCAUUAAUUACAAUCAAAUAAAAGUAUAUAUUGGAACCAUUUGAGUGGAGCCAUUUGUUAUUUUUGGAAAAAGUAUAUAUAAACAUUGUUAUUGGAAAAACUAUAUAUUGCAUAAGAUUCCUGCAAGUGUUAAGGAAAACGAAACGAAAGGAAGCAAACUUACAUAGCUGCUAUGGAGGAUUUGAUUUAGGCCAGUAAUAUAUUAUAUGGUUACCCAUUCUCUGCGCUUCUAAUUUUAGUUGUAUAAUCUUUUAUUAGUUUGCUAUUUAUACAUAGCCAAAAUCUAUAAACCAGCAGAGCAAUAAUAUUGCUAUGUACUAAUAAAAUCAAGCUCCUUAUGGUCUAGUGUGGUCUGAACCCAGAUCUUCUUUUGCACCAAUUACAGUGGUCCAUGGUUCAGUCCUAGACCUUCUCUAUCUAUUACCUAGAUAGAGUUUUUAAAAAAUUUUAUAUAUUGAAUAAAGAGAAUAAAGAAAAGAAAAGAAAAAAAAAACAAGAAAAGGACAGAAAGAAAGAAAGAAAAACAAUACAAAGUACGAUAAUUUUGUAGUGAAAAUGGAGGUGGCCAAGAUAGCUUUCAUGUUUGUGUUUUGGUUUGGUUUUAUUACUCCAAAUCUAAUGGCAGACAUGAAAAAAUAUGAUAAGGUCUGGCAAGAAAGAUCAGAAGAAGCCAGGAAGAACAUGAUGGAAGCCUACGAUCCUGAUCCUAUUGCAGUCACUGCAGAGGUCAACGAGCAAGUUAAUCAUCAGUAAUUUAUUCUACUUCAUUGUUCUCUUCAUUUCUUUUUCGUUUUGUAGGAAUCAGAUUUUACAAAUACAACUAUAUAUAUAUAUAUAUAUAUAUAUAUAUAUAUAUUGACAUCACAGGAGAUAAAUUAACUUAUAACUGGGUGGAAAUGUAAAAAAUAUUCUUCCUUUUACAUCACUUUAGAUAUGUAUAAAAAGAAUAUUGCGACAUAUCUUUUCAUACAGCUUUCUCAAACUGAUAUUUUUUAUAUACCGAAAUAGAGGAUUCCAACAUUUAGAGUCAAAAGGAAUAGUUACGUGAGGUUUUUCAAACCAGAAAAAAUCUUCAUAUUUAUCUGUCAAUAUUUCUAACUUUGAAUUUUCUUAUUUUCAUUCUGAUAAAAAAAUUUAUAAAAGUGGUUUAUUUCUAUGGCAUGUCUCUUUAAAGUGAAAAUGGAAUUCAUCCUUUGUUUUAUCCUUUCCAUUCACUUGGAUCUCUUUCGUUUUCGUCGAUUUUAUCCGGAUCCUCAUUUUCUUCUGAAAAAAGGGAAGAAGAGGAUCUUCUUCGGUGGAUCCCUCUUGUUCCGAUUUAGUCCCCUCCGUUUCGGAAGUUGUUUCUCUUUCUGCAUCAGUUUCAUGUUUUAGUUUAUUUCAUUAAGUAGAUUAGAGAAAGGAGACAUAACCCAUAUCUAUGAAUUAUGUUCUUGAUUGUUGCAGGAUAGAUGGAAAUGCAAAGACAAACUCUACAAUUAACCACACAAAAGGGACUAAUAAUUUUGAAACCGGGGCAGAAGCCAACAACACUAGGAGAAGCCUUAAGCAAAAAAAACAAAAAUACAAUGGUCCAUGCCAAGCCAACAACCCAAUUGACAAGUGCUGGAGGUGCAGAAAGAACUGGGUCAAAGACCGGCAACGGCUCGCAUCAUGUGCACUAGGGUUUGGUCGUCGAACGACAGGAGGCAAAGGCGGAAAAAUCUACGUUGUCACUGAUAAUUCAGACCAUGAUUGUGUAGAGCCUAAACCCGGGACUUUACGCCAUGCAGUGAUUCAAAAAGAACCAUUAUGGAUUAUAUUUGCAUGUGAUAUGAACAUAAAGUUAAGCCAAGAGCUUAUUAUGGCUCAUAAUAAGACUAUCGAUGGAAGAGGAUUUAAUGUUCAUAUUUCUCAUGGUGCUGGCAUUACGAUUCAAUUUGUUAGUAAUAUAAUUAUUCACGGUUUGCGAAUUCACCAUAUUUGUUCUACUUGUGGUGGAAUGAUUAGAGAUUCGGUUGAUCAUGUCGGACUUAGGACAGCGAGUGAUGGGGAUGGAAUUAGUAUCUUCGGAUCUACAAAUGUUUGGAUUGAUCAUGUUUCUAUGUCUAAUUGCCAAGAUGGACUUAUUGAUGCAAUUCAAGGAUCUACUGCAAUUACCAUUUCAAAUUGCCACUUCAGCAACCAUAAUGAUGUAAGUAACCACUUAAUUAUAUUUCCAUGUCUGGGAUGAAUGGUUUUACCUUUGAUCUUAGAUAAACUUAAUACAAUAAGCGAAAGCUAACUCGCCAUACCACAAUCCAUUACAUUGAGUAUUUUUUUAGAUUGUGACUAACUAUGGACCAAGUAAUUUGAACGUCGGCAUUGACGGAGUGAGGGGCUAGGGGUGGCCCCUCCUAACUUUUUUUUUUUUUAAAAAAAAUUGCCCACUUUUAUCUUCUAAUCCUGGCUCCGUCACUGGCCGUCGAAUCAGCAAUACCAUUACUAAAAUUGACCAACUUCUCUAAGAAAUUUUUGCUCGAUUCAAAGAGUGUGCAUGACUUUAUAGGAAUCACAUCUCUGAAAUUGCUAUAGGAAAGAAUUAGUUUUAGAAUAUGAUAUAUAAAUAAUCAAGUUUUUGGAUGAUUUAUGUGCAGGCAAUCCUGUUGGGUGCAAGUGAUAGCUUCUCAGGUGAUCAAUUUAUGCAAAUAACAGUAGCAUUCAACCAUUUUGGUCAGGGACUUGUACAAAGAAUGCCAAGAUGCAGAUGGGGUUUCUUCCAUGUAGUUAACAAUGAUUAUACUCACUGGCUAUUGUACGCCAUUGGUGGUAGCAUGCACCCCACCAUUGUUAGCCAGGGUAACCAAUUUGUUGCCCCAGAUGACAAGUAUAUAAAAGAGGUAACGAAAAAUUAUAACAGAACUAUAUUUGUAAUGAACAGUUUUCUGGUUCUGGAAUCGUUUCCAAAACCCUGAGAGAUUUAGAGUUUGAAUCUUAUAAACCACGAAGUUAUUACACCAAGUAACUCACAUAUUUUUGUGUGGUUAUAGGUGACAAAGAGGGACUAUGCACCAAUGUCAGAAUGGAAGAAAUGGAAUUGGAGAUCAGAAGGAGAUUUGAUGGUGAAUGGAGCGUUCUUUGUUGAAUCUGGAGAACCUGCCUUGCAUCUAAGACCAAGUAAGAAGUUUAUGAUCAAAGCAAAGCAUGGACGUUUUGCUACACAAAUGACACGCUUUGCAGGAGCACUUGAUUGUAAAUAUGGAAAAAAAUGUUAGAAAAACGGGCUCUGAUCAUCAAUUAUGAUUUACACAUUGGAUGGAAGAGACAUGCAUAUAUGAAAUUUGCUGCUUUUGUUGGAUGUGUGGAGAAGAACUAAGGUCAUGUUUGUAUGAUUUUUUUUCUUGUUAUUUAUUUUGUUUGGGGAAAAUGGGGAAAAAAAGUAGAUUGGGAUUUAGAUGGGAAGUGGGAAAAAAGAUUUUUUAUUUGCCCCAUAUUUUCCCCCUAUUUUUAUAUGUUGAGCUUGUAUUAGUAUUUUUUUUUUUUUUUUUACCUACUUUCAUUGUGUCUUACUAUUUUAUUUUAUUUUUUAAUUAUAGCAGGCAAUUAAUGAUGAAAAGAAUUGAUUGGACAAUUGAAAUCAAUUAGUUAUGUACAUGUAAUUUUGUUAUUAAUUUUAAGUAAUAAUGACAAUUUAUUAAAAACUAUUAGUGAUAUUAUUGUUUUAUUUAGUACCUUAAAGUAAUAUUAAUUAUUUUAUUAAUUAAUAAAAAAACUUAAAAAUUUUAUUAUUUAGAAAAAAUCAAUGAUAUUAUAAAUGUAAUAACUAAAAAAUAUCAUUAGUAUUAUUAAUAAUAUAUAAAUUUCAUCUUCAUCAAUUUCUAAAUUAAAAGAAAACUAAAUUAUAAAAAGAUCAAAAAAAUUUUAAAAAAAACAUGAAAAAACAAAAUAUAUAGAUAUACUAUUUACAUAAAUAUAGAUAAAAA